CCUACGGGGGGCAGCACUGGGGAAUAUUGGACAAUGGGGGCAACCCUGAUCCAGCCAUGCCGCGUGUGUGAAGAAGGCCCUCGGGUUGUAAAGCACUUUCAGUGAGGAAGAACGCCUGGUGGUUAAUACCCAUCAGGAAAGACAUCACUCACAGAAGAAGCACCGGCUAACUCCGUGCCAGCAGCCGCGGUAAUACGGAGGGUGCGAGCGUUAAUCGGAAUUACUGGGCGUAAAGCGCGCGUAGGUGGCUUGAUAAGCCGGUUGUGAAAGCCCCGGGCUCAACCUGGGAACGGCAUCCGGAACUGUCAAGCUAGAGUGCAGGAGAGGAAGGUAGAAUUCCCGGUGUAGCGGUGAAAUGCGUAGAGAUCGGGAGGAAUACCAGUGGCGAAGGCGGCCUUCUGGACUGACACUGACACUGAGGUGCGAAAGCGUGGGUAGCAAACAGGAUUAGAUACCCUUGUAGUC
RNAcentral lists this ribosomal RNA (465 nucleotides) under Vreelandella stevensii. RNAcentral's name for it is "partial 16S ribosomal RNA". It matches the Rfam family "Bacterial small subunit ribosomal RNA", at positions 338 to 795 of the family's 1533-position model. The record is from RNAcentral. Lineage: Bacteria; Pseudomonadati; Pseudomonadota; Gammaproteobacteria; Oceanospirillales; Halomonadaceae.